Long non-coding RNA from Drosophila navojoa, 380 nucleotides. RefSeq lists it as uncharacterized. Lineage: Eukaryota; Metazoa; Arthropoda; Insecta; Diptera; Drosophilidae. The record is from RefSeq and is a predicted model, not a curated record.
UUAGAAAUUUGUAUUUCUAAAAGGCUCAGUCACCUUCCCAUCCAAGCCCAUUCCCAUUUUAAUUUUGCCCACUGAACAUCUCUAAUUUUCGGGAAUCGACUGCUUGGAUACCAGCGAUCGAUAGGCCAUCUUCCCCCCAUCCACUGCCUUUUCCGUGAUUUGGUUUAGCUACGACUGAUUUGACUAUACAGUCUACUAUAUCCCGAUACCAGAAUGUGCUGCUCUCCUUGCUAUUCGUGUAACUAUUCCUGCACCUCCCCCUGCAAUGGCUGCUGCAGUGGCUGCUGCGGCUGCAACGGCUGCUGUGGCGGAGGUUGUUGCUCCGCUGCGGCCUGCUGCUAUCCCAGCUGCUGUGGCGGUUCCUGUGGACCCUGCUGCUA